This 363-nucleotide unclassified non-coding RNA is filed under the name Hevea brasiliensis (rubber tree). Lineage: Eukaryota; Viridiplantae; Streptophyta; Magnoliopsida; Malpighiales; Euphorbiaceae. The record is from RNAcentral.
GUUGGCAGCCUAGCCUCCCUGGUCCCCUUGCGCUUACCAUAUCCAGAAUGGCGACCCUUUCUCUUGGCCUCCUUCAUUCUGCGAGCACGAGAACGUGAAUGAAUCUUUGUUGGUUUCCGAAUGAUGAAACCAUCCUUCACUAGCUUUCUAAUGUUCUGCCUGGAGUUGGCCAUGGAGAUUUCAUUAACCUCAUUAGGAUCAAGCCAGACCUUGCCCUUUCCGCACUUGAGCACGCUAGCGGCAAGCCGCUUCUGGAGUUUCAAAGAAACCAUCGUUUCUCUUCUUUAUCACUCGGCGUGAGAGGCAAAUAGAGAGUUUUAGGAUUGGAUGCAGAGGCAAUCUUAUACUACACAGGCAAAACAG